AUGCCGCUCAAGCUCGCGCUCACCGUCGUUGCUCCGGCGGGCAUGACGUGCGGCAUACUGAAACUCGCGGGCGUCCCCUGGCCAAUCGUCAUCCGCAUCGCCGGCGUCCUGCUCGCCUUCCUCUUCAUCGCGGCGUUGUGCCAGCGCGCGCAGCUCCUGCAAGAUCCAGAGGGGGAUCGGUCGUCCAUGGCCGCGCUUCCGCGGGAGCCGGCCGUCGGGCUAGGACAGGCGGCGAUCGCCGGCCUGCCCGUGUACAAGUACGAGAAGCUGAGCUGCGGCGGCGGAGAGGGCCACGAGUGCGCGGUGUGCCUCGCCGAGGUCAGGCCCAAGGAGGUGGUGAAGCAGCUGCCGGCGUGCACGCACCUUUUCCAUGACCGGUGCAUCGACGAGUGGCUCUGGUCUCACAGGACGUGCCCGGUCUGCCGGUCUCCAGUCGACGCCUCCACCGUUCCGGACGUGGAAGUUGCCGCCCGUGCUAUGCAAUCUGUUUAG
RNAcentral lists this ribosomal RNA (492 nucleotides) under Triticum aestivum (bread wheat). RNAcentral's name for it is "partial small subunit ribosomal RNA". Lineage: Eukaryota; Viridiplantae; Streptophyta; Magnoliopsida; Poales; Poaceae. The record is from RNAcentral.